Transfer RNA from Camelus ferus (Wild Bactrian camel), 72 nucleotides. It matches the Rfam family "tRNA". Rfam says of the family: Transfer RNA (tRNA) molecules are approximately 80 nucleotides in length. Their secondary structure includes four short double-helical elements and three loops (D, anti-codon, and T loops). NCBI's taxonomy places the organism in Eukaryota, Metazoa, Chordata, Mammalia, Artiodactyla, Camelidae. The record is from Rfam.
GAAGGUAUAGCUCAGUGGCAGAGUAUGUGCCUAGCAUGUACAAGGUCUGGGGUUCAAUCCCUAGUACCUCCA